GAAUGUAUACAAAAUUAUAACAAAACAAAACUUUCAACAACGGAUCUCUUUGUUUUCUCGCCUCCAUGAAGAACACAGCGAAAUGCGAUACGUAAUGUGAAUUGCAGAAUUCAGUGAAUCAUCGAGUCGUGGAGCGCACCUUGCGCUCCUUGGUAUUCCGAGGAGCAUGCCUGUUUGAGUGUCAUGAAAUCUUCAACCCACCUCUUUCUUAAUGAAUCUGGGGGGGCUUGGUUUCUGAGCGCUGCUCUGCUUCGGCUUAACUCGCUCGUAAUGCAUUAACAUCCGCAACCCAACUUCGGAUUGACUUUGGGUAAUAAAAUAUUCGCUGAGGAAUCUAGUCUCGUACAAAAGCCGGUUUGGUUAAAGGAAGCUUCUAAUCCCAAAGUCUAUUUUUUUGAUUAGAUCUCAAAUCCGG
Molecule: ribosomal RNA, 415 nt
Filed under: Rhodotorula glutinis
Lineage: Eukaryota; Fungi; Basidiomycota; Microbotryomycetes; Sporidiobolales; Sporidiobolaceae
Description: eukaryotic LSU rRNA
Rfam family: 5.8S ribosomal RNA (bases 29-184)
Source: RNAcentral